This 460-nucleotide ribosomal RNA is filed under the name uncultured bacterium. RNAcentral's name for it is "partial 16S ribosomal RNA". It matches the Rfam family "Bacterial small subunit ribosomal RNA", at positions 338 to 795 of the family's 1533-position model. The record is from RNAcentral.
CCUACGGGUGGCAGCAGUGAGGAAUAUUGGUCAAUGGGCGCGAGCCUGAACCAGCAAAGUAGCGUGAAGGAUGACUGCCCUACGGGUUGUAAACUUCGUUUAUAAAGGAAUAAAGUGAGGCACGUGUGCCUUUUUGUAUGUACUUUAUGAAUAAGGAUAGGCUAACUCCGUGCCAGCAGCCGCGGUAAUACGGAGGAUCCGAGCGUUAUCCGGAUUUAUUGGGUUUAAAGGGAGCGUAGAUGGGUUGUUAAGUCAGUUGUGAAGGUUUGCGGAGAAACCGUAAAAUUGCAAUUGAUACUGGCAGCCUUGAGUACAGUUGAGGUAGGCGGAAUUCGUGGUGUAGCGGUGAAAUGCUUAGAUAUCACGAAGAACGCCGAUUGCGAAGGCAGCCUACUAAACUGCCACUGACAUUGAUGCUCGAAAGUGUGGGUAUCAAACAGGAUUAGAUACCCGUGUAGUC